CACGUAGUUAGCCGGCGCUUUUUCUGCAGGUACCGUCACUUUCGCUUCUUCCCUGCUAAAAGAGGUUUACAACCCGAAGGCCGUCAUCCCUCACGCGGCGUUGCUGCAUCAGGCUUCCGCCCAUUGUGCAAUAUUCCCCACUGCUGCCUCCCGUAGGAGUCUGGGCCGUGUCUCGGUCCCAGUGUGGCCGGUCACCCUCUCAGGCCGGCUACCCGUCGACGCCUUGGUGAGCCAUUACCUCACCAACAAGCUGAUAGGCCGUGAGCCCAUCCCAGACCAAAAAAUCUUUCCAGAAACUCACCAUGCGGUGGAAUCUCGUAUCCGGUAUUAGACGCCGUUUCCAGCGCUUAUCCCAGAGUCCGGGGCAGGUUGCUCACGUGUUACUCACCCGUUCGCCACUGGUCCACAGAGCAAGCUCUGCUUCACCGUUCGACUUGCAUGUGUUAAGCACGCCGCCAGCGUUCAUCCUGAGCCAGGAUCAAACUC
Molecule: ribosomal RNA, 486 nt
Filed under: uncultured Microbacterium sp.
Lineage: Bacteria; Bacillati; Actinomycetota; Actinomycetes; Micrococcales; Microbacteriaceae
Description: partial 16S ribosomal RNA
Source: RNAcentral